GCAACAACCUGAAAUAGAUUUUGCUUAAAAGCAAACUGCUGUGGUUGUUUUGUUCAGUAACUUGCAUUUCCGUGACUUCUGAAUUAUUACAGUAAGACAAGUGCCCUCACCAUCUAUACAUUGCACUUAAAGCAAGCAAACUGUAUGCAAUCCUUUUUUUUCAGUCAGCUGUGUUGCCCUGAUGUCUCUAUAUUCCAAUAAAACAGAUGCCCUAUCUAUGAAUUGCACUCAAAACAAGCAAGCUGUGUAAAGCCCUGUUGUAGCCCUCCUGCUACUCCACACUCCUUUGGAAAGUGAAGGAUUUCCUUGCAAUUUACUUGCUGCUUCCAGAUAACAUUGCAAAAGUCAUUAUUUUUGCUGUGCUGCUUCUAAUUUACAUCUUGCUAACUUAACAUGGGUGUUUGAAUGGGCUGAGGUUUUAGUGAAUUGGCUGUGCCAAUGAACUGCUGUACCUUAUUCUUUAGUCAUUAAUAAUAGUUUACUCUUCAGAAUGUUAAGAAUUAUCAGAUGGGUUCAUCGCUUAAUAACCUGAGUUGCUGUUUGCCACUUGGCACACUUCAUCCCUCACUUUGAUCUUUCUGUGACAGGAUAGAUUCUACCAUCCGUACUGUAAGAAGGACUUCUCUGAUUAACGGGAGCAACAGGACUAAUAAUAUAAAGGACCAAAUUUCCAUAAAAGGGUUAUGAAAUGCAAAUCAAAGUAUUAUCUUUACUUUUGCAGGAUGGGGCAGCCACAGCUUCUCUGGGCACCCUGUGCCAGCGCCUCAGCACCCUCACAGGGAAGAGCUUCUGCCUCAGAUCUAACCUGAAUCUCCCCUGUUUCAGUUUGAACCCAUCACCCCCUGUCCUAUCCCUACACAGAAAGGAUUUUAAGAACACAUGCUUAGUAGGGAUGUUCACGUAUGUAUUGAGCCUCUAUGAUUCUACACAUUAAAUACUACAUAUGCCCCUAAAUUGCUGCUGCCAAGGAUAAAUACUUCCUUCCCAUUCCUCAGAAUGGUCUUCUUUGAGUUUAGCACAUCUUGGAGCUGGAAGAAAACAGGCUGCUGAAAGGUUUCUACGUGAAGCAGCAGCAUAUCAGUGGAAUAUAACAAUCUGAGGCAGAGAAGGAAAGUGAGUGCAAUUCUACUUGUGAGAAGCAACAGGAGAUUAUAAAUAGCUCACUGAAGAGUACAGUUUCAGAAGAGGUGAAACUUGCUGCUGCACUCGGAGAUAAGGUUGAACUUGAGAACGGAAAAGUGUGACAUCCUCCUUGGAUACAGUUCUGGGAACAUCAGCAUGAAUUAAACAGUUUGUGACUGCUGGCUUCUUGCUUGACAUCCUCAGUCUCAUUUCCCAAAAAUACUGAUGCCUUUGGCUUUGAUACCUUGCAGGUGCCUGGAUUCACAGAAAAUCACUGCUGUUCAGUACAUUACUUACCAAUUGUUCUCACUUUGUCUUUAAGUGAUGCUCCUUCUAGUUUAAGAAAGAAGGCUGCAGUUUUGCUGCUGAAGAGGUGACGAAGGACAGAGAUGAAGGUACAAUUCCCAGUUUCACUACAGUGUUACAAUCCUUAAUGCUAGGUUUCCUGGCUGUUAAAUGAGCUGAUGCUUCCCUUGAAUUCCCUUUAUCUUUUGUCCCUGUUGAGACUUCCAGCCAUUUGAAGAAGGUAAUGUUGGUUGCACUUGUGGGCUGGCGGGACCCUAAGAUGGCUGUAAUAUCAAGAAUGCUACUUUCUGAAGCUCCAGCUUCAAUUUUCUCACUCCAAAGGGGUAUCACUUAGUGGUGCUCCAUCUUUCAGCUGAAGUGAGUGUAUUUUGCCCAUGCUCAUCCAUGUCUGUCAUCACUUGGAAUUUGCCUGUAUGUCCGCUGGUAGAAACCAUGAUGAUCCCAAACAGCAUUUCUGGCUCAGUCAGUCACUUAAAGAUAUUGUAUAAAAGGUGUUUCACAACAUUGUCAAGAGUUUUAAUGAUACAUUCAAAAUUCAGCUACUAGGCUAAGCUAGUUUAUGGUAAAAUAGACUAGAUAUUUCAAAUAAGAAAUGAGCCUCUAAUCUCAAUACAACUGUUUGUAGCCUUUGCAGACUAAGAUACAUUAACGUGAAUUUGCCUCAGUAGCUAAAGAAACUUUUCAGCUUGAAAAAACCCAAAAAUCUUAAGCAAGAUUUUCUCUGAAUGAUUAUGUUAGCAGCAUCUGCUUUGCAAAGUAACAUAUAUUUAUGGGAAACUUUAAUACAUGGGGAAAUAGUUACAAACUAUUCUUGCACAAUACUGUAGCUCACCUUACUGCAAGCCCUGUCAGAGACUAUGUGUGUAAAUUCCUCAUGGUACUGUGAAAACACAAAUAGAAGCUAGCCUAAGUCUUUUAAAUGGAUCUGGUUCAUGUUACCCUUAAAUAAAAAAUCACUCCCA
Molecule: long non-coding RNA, 2390 nt
Filed under: Strigops habroptila (Kakapo)
Lineage: Eukaryota; Metazoa; Chordata; Aves; Psittaciformes; Psittacidae
Description: lncRNA (ENSSHBG00005005942.1)
Source: RNAcentral